This is a transfer RNA of 95 nucleotides. It matches the Rfam family "tRNA". Rfam says of the family: Transfer RNA (tRNA) molecules are approximately 80 nucleotides in length. Their secondary structure includes four short double-helical elements and three loops (D, anti-codon, and T loops). Further hydrogen bonds mediate the characteristic L-shaped molecular structure. tRNAs have two regions of fundamental functional importance: the anti-codon, which is responsible for specific mRNA codon recognition, and the 3' end, to which the tRNAs corresponding amino acid is attached (by aminoacyl-tRNA synthetases). tRNAs cope with the degeneracy of the genetic code in two manners: having more than one tRNA (with a specific anti-codon) for a particular amino acid; and 'wobble' base-pairing, i.e. permitting non-standard base-pairing at the 3rd anti-codon position. The record is from Rfam.
UCCCCCGUGGCGCAAUUGGCUAGCGCGUUCGACUGUUAUCCUGUCUGGAAGAGCAGAGUAUCGGGAGGUUGACAGUUCAAUCCUGUCCGGAGGAG